GCUGUAGCUCAGUGGUAAAGCAUCUGCUUUACAUGCAAAAGGUUCUGGGUUCAAAUAAUGUCUCUGGGGAAAGCU
This is a non-coding RNA of Podarcis lilfordi (Lilford's wall lizard), 75 nucleotides long. The record is from the annotation of a GenBank genome assembly. Lineage: Eukaryota; Metazoa; Chordata; Lepidosauria; Squamata; Lacertidae.